AAAUUAAUAUUUAUUUAAAUUAUAAAUUUUAUUUAAUUUUAAAAAAAGAAAUUUUAUUUUUAUUAUAUUUAUGAAAAAAUUUAUUAUUAUUAUAGUUAAAAGUAUUGUGAAAGAAAAUAUAUAAUUUAUUAUAAAGAAAAAUUAAAAUUUUGUACCUUGUGCAUCAGGGUUAAUUUAAAAAUAAUUUUAUAUAUAAAUAUUCUCGAAUUCAAAAGAGUUAAUUAAUUAUAAAUUUUAUUGUGAAAUAAAUAUUUAAAAUAUUUAAUUUGAAAUGAAACGUUAUUCGUUUUUGAAUAUAUCUAGUUUUUAAAUAAAUAAAUUUAAUUUAGUUAUUUAUAUUUAAAAUUUUUAAUUUUUAAAAUUUUAUUAUAAAUAAGUAAUUAUUUUAGGGAUAAGCUUAAAAUAAAAAAACUAUAAUUAAAUAUUUAAAAUUUAAUAAAUUAUAGGAUUAUAAUUUUCUAUAAAUAAAAAAAUGUUAUAAUUAAUUAUUAAUAAUAUAAAAUUUAUAUUAAUAUUUAGUUUUUAUAUUUAAAUAUAUAUAUAAAUAAAAUUUAUAUAGAAAUAGUGAUUAAAUUAGUAUAAAUUUAUGUAAAUUUAAAUUGAUAAUUAAGGUUAAUUUAAGGAACUCGGCAAAUUUAUUUUUCACCUGUUUAUUAAAAACAUGUCCUUUUGAUUAUAAUUUAAGGUCUAAUCUGCCCACUGAAAUUUUUAAAUGGCCGCGGUAUCUUGACCGUGCAAAGGUAGCAUAAUAAUUAGUUUCUUAAUUAGAAGCUGGAAUGAAAGAUUGAAUGAGAAAAUAACUGUCUCAAUUUAAUUUAGUUAGAACUUUAUUUUUAAGUUAAAAAGCUUAAAUAUUUUUAAAAGACGAGAAGACCCUAUAGAGUUUUAUUUAUAUAAAAAUUAUAAAUUUAUAGAUUUUAAAAAUUAUAAUUUUUAUAUAAAUUUUGUUGGGGUGAUAGAAAAAUUAAUUAAACUUUUUUUAUAUAAAAACAUAUAUAAAUGAUUAUUUGAUCCAAAAUUUUUGAUUAAAAGAUAAAAUUACCUUAGGGAUAACAGCGUAAUUUUUUUUGAGAGUUCUUAUCGAAAAAAGAGAUUGCGACCUCGAUGUUGGAUUAAAGUAAAAUUUUGGUGUAGAAGCUAAAAAUUUAGGUCUGUUCGACCUUUAAAACUUUACAUGAUCUGAGUUUAAACCGGUGUAAGCCAGGUUGGUUUCUAUCUUUAAAAAAAAGAAAUAUUUUAGUACGAAAGGACCAAGUAUUUAUUAAAUUAAUUAUAAAUUGAAUUUUAUU
Molecule: ribosomal RNA, 1289 nt
Filed under: Opilo sinensis
Lineage: Eukaryota; Metazoa; Arthropoda; Insecta; Coleoptera; Cleridae
Also listed under: 1 other name
Description: 16S ribosomal RNA
Rfam family: Archaeal large subunit ribosomal RNA (bases 600-1289)
Source: RNAcentral